RNAcentral lists this long non-coding RNA (614 nucleotides) under Musa acuminata (dwarf banana). Its description in RNAcentral is "long non-coding RNA (MACU_LNC006342)". The record is from RNAcentral. Lineage: Eukaryota; Viridiplantae; Streptophyta; Magnoliopsida; Zingiberales; Musaceae.
ACGAAGAAGUUAUCGGCUCCACCACCGCCUCCGCCGCCGCUGUGGGCGCCGUCGGCGGCUCGAAGACCGAUCAAGGUGAGGAGUUCCACGAGGGACGAGAUCGACCGGUACUGGCGGAUGAGAAGAAUGAUCGAGGAGGACCACCUCCUCUUCGCGCAGAAGGCGGCGGCCAGGAUCAGGGCCAAGGCUCUCAAGGCGAGUCCUUCCCGCUUCUUGAUUGCGUUGAUUUAUGGCACCAAGAGCUGUUUUCGUUGGACCUUGCCGCCGCCAUGAUGAAAUUGUGCUGUGCAGGAGGAAGACCAUCGACGAUUCGAGGAGCUGCUGCAGAAGAUGAUGGAUGAAGAGGAGGAACAGACGGGCGGCGGCGGCGGAAACAAGGAGCUACCGAUAGGAAUCAAGGACUGGUGGGCUUGAAACCACUCACCUCCGCUUUGUCUUCUUUUCUAAAGACAAUCAAGCAAAGCAUUUAGGAUGUUGACUUUGUGGCUGCAUGAACAGUGAACAUGAUUCCAUCCUUUUUCUUGAGACUCCCUUUACUCCACCAAGCCAAAAAAGUGAAGAGACGAUCGAAAGAUACAUAUCAUCAUCUGGUUUCCGACUCUACUAAUUCUUAG